UGGCGGCACUAGCGCGGUGGUCCCACCUGACCCCAUGCCGAACUCAGAAGUGAAACGCCGUAGCGCCGAUGGUAGUGUGGGGUCUCCCCAUGUGAGAGUAGGGAACUGCCAGGC
RNAcentral lists this ribosomal RNA (114 nucleotides) under Klebsiella pneumoniae. RNAcentral also lists the same sequence under 8 other names. Lineage: Bacteria; Pseudomonadati; Pseudomonadota; Gammaproteobacteria; Enterobacterales; Enterobacteriaceae. The record is from RNAcentral.